RNAcentral lists this ribosomal RNA (1343 nucleotides) under unidentified marine bacterioplankton. RNAcentral's name for it is "bacterial SSU rRNA". It matches the Rfam family "Bacterial small subunit ribosomal RNA". The record is from RNAcentral.
UUAGAGUUUGAUCAUGGCUCAGAACGUACGCUGGCGGCACGCCUAACACAUGCAAGUCGAACGAAGUAGCAAUACUUAGUGGCAGACGGGUGAGUAACAUGUAGGUAUCUUCCCUUUGGCCUGGAAUAACACGAGGAAACUUGUGCUAAUACUGGAUAAGUCUUUACGGAGAAAGCUUUAUGCACCAUUGGAUGAGCCUGCACUUGAUUAGUUUGUUGGUGGGGUAAUGGCCUACCAAGACUUUGAUCAAUAGCUGAUUUGAGAGGAUGAUCAGCCACAUUGGGACUGAGACACGGCCCAAACUCCUACGGGAGGCAGCAGUGGGGAAUCUUGCACAAUGGAGGAAACUCUGAUGCAGCGAUGCCGCGUGAGUGAAGAAGGCCCUUGGGUUGUAAAGCUCUUUCGUCGGGGAAGAAAAUGACUGUACCCGAAUAAGAAGGUCCGGCUAACUUCGUGCCAGCAGCCGCGGUAAUACGAAGGGACCUAGCGUAGUUCGGAAUUACUGGGCUUAAAGAGUUCGUAGGUGGUUGAAAAAGUUGGUGGUGAAAUCCCAGAGCUUAACUCUGGAACUGCCAUCAAAACUUUUCAGCUAGAGUUUGAUAGAGGAAAGCAGAAUUUCUAGUGUAGAGGUGAAAUUCGUAGAUAUUAGAAAGAAUACCAAUUGCGAAGGCAGCUUUCUGGAUCAUUACUGACACUGAGGAACGAAAGCAUGGGUAGCGAAGAGGAUUAGAUACCCUCGUAGUCCAUGCCGUAAACGAUGUGUGUUAGACGUUGGAAAUUUAUUUUCAGUGUCGCAGCGAAAGCGAUAAACACACCGCCUGGGGAGUACGACCGCAAGGUUAAAACUCAAAUGAAUUGACGGGGACCCGCACAAGUAGUGGAGCAUGUGGUUUAAUUCGAAGAUACGCGCAGAACCUUACCAACACUUGACAUGUUCGUCGCGACUUUAAGAGAUUAAAGUUUUCGGUUCGGCCGGACGAAACGCAGGUGCUGCAUGGCUGUCGUCAGCUCGUGUCGUGAGAUGUUGGGUUAAGUCCCGCAACGAGCGCAACCCUCACUUUUAGUUGCCAUCAUUAAGUUGGGCACUCUGAAAGAACUGCCAGUGAUAAGCUGGAGGAAGGUGGGGAUGACGUCAAGUCCUCAUGGCCCUUACGUGUUGGGCUACACACGUGCUACAAUGGUAUUUACAACAGGAAGCAAGACGGCGACGUUAAGCAAAUCCUCAAAAAAUACCUCAGUUCGGAUUGCACUCUGCAACUCGAGUGCAUGAAGCUGGAAUUACUAGUAAUCGUGGAUCAGCGUGCCACGGUGAAUGCGUUCCCGGGCUCUUGUACACACCGCCC